CGGGUGAGUAACGCGUGGAUAACCUGCCUCACACUGGGGGAUAACAGUUAGAAAUGACUGCUAACACCGCAUAAGCGCACAGUACCGCAUGGUACAGUGUGAAAAACUCCGGUGGUGUGAGAUGGAUCCGCGUCUGAUUAGCCAGUUGGCGGGUAACGGCCCACCAAAGCGACGAUCAGUAGCCGACCUGAGAGGGUGACCGGCCACAUUGGGACUGAGACACGGCCCAA
Molecule: ribosomal RNA, 230 nt
Filed under: uncultured bacterium
Lineage: Bacteria
Description: partial 16S ribosomal RNA
Rfam family: Bacterial small subunit ribosomal RNA
Source: RNAcentral